This is a long non-coding RNA of Amphiprion ocellaris (clown anemonefish), 11422 nucleotides long. RefSeq lists it as uncharacterized. The record is from RefSeq and is a predicted model, not a curated record. NCBI's taxonomy places the organism in Eukaryota, Metazoa, Chordata, Actinopteri, Pomacentridae. The transcript is spliced from 2 exons.
GUGAGCAAUGGGCAUCCGCAUGGCGUCGGCCAUCUCCCUCUUAGUUACAGACACAAAGCCGGGAUCUCUGGCCUGAGAGACGAGACCGCCUUUUACCAGAGCCUGAAGAAAAACGACAUGGAAGGUUCUCACAUACGGCUUAAAGGAAGCUGGACAAAGAUCGGAGGUACUAUUGAAGAGGUAAUGUAAAAAAUCUGAAAUUCUUUUUUGGUUGGUAAGUAAAUUUUUCUUCUGAAAUGAAUAUAACUGAUUCUUGAACAAACUAAACCUAAACUGUGCUCACUUUUCAAUUAGACAUAAAGUUAAUUCACUGUAGGAGUAGCCUUAACUUGAGAUUUAGAUUAUUAUUACCUAUAUAUGAGAGAUCUGACGGCAGAUCAAGACAUUUCCUAGUAGCAGAGAUGGUAUUAAAUUAGUGUGUAAGGAGAGAGUUGAUCAGUCACUUCCACACUUACCUCCUGGACCAGCUGGUCGGCUGCGGUGCGAGAGCUCUGACUCUGACUGUCACCAUAGUCGGGGUCAUAAGGGAACUGAACAGAAAAAAUACGCAUUGCUUCAAUGAUCUGUUCAUCAUCUGUGACACUGGACGAGUCAGCCUUCGAUAAAAUGUUACCUGCGUUUUGUCGGUUCUCACUGUGAAGCUCCAAGAACGUCUGCUGUCUGAAAAGAGUAAAAUAAAUACACAAGGAACAGCUAUAUAGUACAGAGAAGCCCCUCUUUUUAUGUCUUCAGUCUCAUUUAGCCAGUUUUUGUCUGAGUCAGUUUAAAGUGGUCUUUAACGCAGAGGAGGGCUCGUUUUGGUAGAUGUUUCCUGCUUCGGCCAUAGCAGCCCUAAAUAAAAGACCUUAUUGAGUGAAAUGUACAGUUGUUUGCAUUUAUAUGCGGCUGAGUAACCAUGCUUGUAAGCAGGGAGCUUGACUGAGAACAGGAUUUGUGAAAAUUUGUGCCAUGUUUCUGUAAAAUGAAGCUAAUAUUGAAGUCUGAUUUAGGCAUGAGGAUGAUUUAUCAGAGUCAAUUUAAUAAAGAUACCAGCAUGCAUGCUGGCUAUCUAUAACUCUGAGCAAUUUUCAAGUGUCUCUGAAGACCUCUUCAUAGUCAAUUAUCGGACUUCUGUGCCUUACCUGGCUCUUCGUCCUCACAGGGAUUGUAAAACUCUUCGGGGCUGCCUUCUCUCUCAAAUGAAAAGCUGAAAGAUGAUUGCCUCCCAUUAGAUGCAAUAAGUCCCUGAGCUUAUGCUAUCAGUCUGCUUUGGAGCAUGUGUUGGCACUCACUCUGCAAAGGCGUUGUUGUUGGUGUUGUUCUUCGGUGCAGCUGUGGGGAAGAAUUCGGUGGUGGGCACCAAGGCGGAGGAGUUUGGUGGAGACUCAGGUUGGCUCUCGGAGAACUUAAGGGGUCGCUGGCUGGCCAUCUGCUGGGCCUGAGCGUUUUCAGGCUCAGCGGCGAAUGAGUCCCCACGGUUACCAAACAGACCAUGGGAGCGCUGGAAAUACAGAAGCAAGACAAGAAUGCACACAAGUAUAAUUCCAUUUUAAUAAUCAAAUCAAGAUAAGUAAUAAAAUGUAAAAGAAGACUUUAGACACAUUGCGUAUAUCUGCAUUUAUCAGCUGAUGUCACACCAUGUCCAUUUCACUGAGCAUUUUUCAGGUUUUUGAAAGGUUUUCAGUGAAUCAAAAGCCAAGAAAAUCUCCUCUACCUACUGAACAUCUUACCAAAAUUUAAAAUAACCACAAUUAAACACACACAACAAUGACAAUAAUGCAGCGUGUGUGAACAAAUGCACUACACUUUGCUGCACACAGACCUGGAAAAUGGCCUCUUCUCCAGCCUCCUCCAUAGCUCUGUCCAUCUCUUCCUCAUUCUGCAGGUCUCCUGAAAUGGCUCUGUGCAUCUCCGGAGCUGCUUCUUCAUCUAUACUCCUCAGACCCGCCUGGAAAAACAUGGAGGAUGUGCAGAAAUGAAGAGCAGAGGCACAUGUGUGGCACCGUGUUGACAAGAAUAGGAGAACUUGCACAAGAAAAACGAGGUAAGAUAUAAAUGCAUAACAAAUUUAAUAUUUUGUUGAUUUUUAUUAUUUAAGAGCUAAUAUUCACCUGGAUCUCCGGGCCUGAGGCGCUCUUCUUAGUUGGUCGGUAGCCGUAGUACUCCUCCUGACGCUUCAAGAACUUGCGGAAAUGGUCUUGGAGCAGGAAGGUGGCAUAGAAUUUCCCCACAGUCACCUCAUCAUCUGUAAGUCACAGUGAUGUCUGUGUGAAAAAUGCUGCAUUACUCUGUAAAGGCUGAAAUGCAGCUCAAGCUAUUUGCAACUUUAGACUCACCUCCUAUAGGGGGGAUGACCUGGUCCAGCAGCUUCAUACUGGUGCGCUUCCAGAUUUUCUUUAUAAUGGCUCUCAGUUCCUCAUUGGCCUGCUCAAAGUUACCUACGAGGAGCAGUUUAAGAGCAUUUUACAUGGGAAAGAAAUGCACAUAUUAUAUACAAUAUAUAGGUCAAUAUAAAAUUGCUGAGCUUUCUGUAACAUAGCUGACAGGUAUCAUAGUCAACAUUUUUGCUGUUUUCAGGCCAAAAAUCAACAUGACCGCCUAUAAUCAAACACCACAUGGCAUUUUAGAGAAAGAUUCUUCUAAAUAUUAGAUAUACAAUUGAGUAAAACUGAAAUAGAAAAUUAUAUAUAAAGAUACUGUAGUAAACCUGUUGACAUGCCAUAAAUCCACACUUGACUCAGACACUACUUUAUAUUAAAUAAGUCAGAAAGCCUUGGAGUCUGGCCAGUAUUUUCUUCAGGAGGAAAUGACAUCAUGUGGAGCAGGUCAUGUGAUCUGGAAUUAACACACUUCCUUGAGAGGUGUUUUUGUAAUGGGGAACUUAGUUGAAAGUGAUUUCUAGGACACAGACACAAUUUGCUAUUUUCUAUGUAAAAUUUGAUAUAUUGCCAAAAAAACAAAUAUCUGUAAUGAUUAUCUGAACUUAAUAAAAAGAACACAAUCGAAAUAAUUUUUGAAUAAGCUCAUUUUAUUAUUGUUUAGCUAAUUAGAAGGUAGUUGUUAUUAAAUUGGGACGGUUGUUUAGUUGACAUUUUAGUGAUAUCCGGUCAUCUUUUAUUAAUAAUUGAUUGUUUCCAUAAUAAAUAAUUAUGGAAUUUGUAAAGACAUGAUCAUAAUGGACAUAAAAAACAUUAGUUUUUUUACUUCAAUAAAAAUGUAUGCAAGAUAUAUCCGAUGGACUUCAAAAUUCCCUCAUUUAUAUAUUGACCCAUAUGCCAUGAUGGUAUAAAAUAGGUUUUGAUGCACUUCAAGUACCUUCUGUUUUGAUUUUCAGUGCAGUCCUGACCAGAGCAAACAGGGUGGCGUUGAAGGUUACGGUGCCAUCACUGUUGAGAGGCAUGUUCAUACCAACCAAACGCUACAGACAGGACAAACAGUACAACAAAACAUUUUAUUUUUGUGUCUUUGCAUGUGAUUUUUUUAACAGUUUUUAGUUUGCUAAUGCCACCAUUUAUGGCCGUGUGUACCUUGCAUGCAGCACGAUGAGGACAGAACUUGCCAAAACCCAGUGGAGGCUGGAUGCGUCGCAGUAACGUCACCACAUCCAGAUGUUUGAUUCUCCCCCUGUUAGAUCAGACAAACAUUUCACAUGAACUUUGAGUGACAACCACAAAAAAUCUGGCUUUAUUCCGAAGGUUGACACUCACGUGGCUUCAGGGUCAUAUUCAGCCCAGAUCUUCUUAAACUCAUCCAGAUGAUGUGGACCAAGAAGAGACCAAUCACGGGUCAGAUAGUCAAAGUUGUCCAUGAUAACAGCAACAAACAAGUUGAGGAUCUGAGUUAGGAAGGAUAAAAAUAUUCUUAUCAACACAUAAGCGUUUCUGUUUCAGCAUUUCUAGAGAAACAGAAUUUCUUUCAAAAAAUGAACUGUUGAACCUGAGGCUGCUUCUCACCAGGAAGGCACAAAGACAGUAGAAGCUGAGGAAGUAGAAGACAGCAAAGUUGGACCCACAGGUGUACUCUUCUCCUGGCAGGAAGUCAGACUUGGGGUCACACUUCUUCCCAUACAUUGAAGCCAUCAUGACCUCCUGCCAUGCCUCUCCAGUAGCACAUCUGGGUAUGGAAACACACACCAAAUAAGAAGAUCUUGGCUCUGUUUUUAAAGCUGAAAACCAUUUGGAACUGAGGAAACUUCUGGGCCUUUUUUUUUUGCUCCUGUCACAUUUUUACUCACUAUGGGCUCAAUUUUACCGCAAUAAAAAGUCCAUAAGACACUUCUAUGGAAAAAGUAACAACAUAAGUAGAAGUACAGAGAAUUUAUAAAAUGUCUUAAUGCAGUUUAACAGAGCUAUAAUGGCACAAAUCAUUUUUAAAAAAGAAGUAGAAUUUCUUAGAUUCUUUAUUUUACAAAAAUGUAAAUAACUGUAAUCAACAUGUUCAACAUUUUCCCAAGUCUCCCCAGGUGUUAAUGGAUACUACAAAAAUGGGAACUUAACAUACACGAAGUUUUCCGUACAUUUUAAAUUUGUUUCCGUACUAUGGUUUCUGUAAACUGUGUGUGUGUCUGUGUAAAUACAGCCUGCAGUUCAGCCAAAUUCAGCCAGAAACUCUUUGAAUUUUUGUCAUAUGUCUAUUGGUCCCAUCUUAGUCAGUCUAAACAAUGUCAUGCAAAAUGAAGUGAUUUUGAAGAAACAUCACCAGUUCAGAUUGGGUCAUUUUGGAGAUGUUUUAAUGAUAACAUACCUUUUAAAACUGAUAGUGUGUUUUGGGGUUCGGAGGUUUAAAUCAUGGCCUAGAAACUCACCGGAAUAACAUCAGAACAGCCUGAGGGAAUGUCUGGAAGUUGUUGUUGCGGUUGAUUUGGGUGCCGUCCACUAAGGCUACCUUUCCAAAGAUCUGAAGGUUGUUACAAUACAAGUCAAAAUUAGAAUCAUUCACCAAGAACAAAUAUGGGAACUUUUAAGCAGGAACACAAUGACAAUCUAUUGAGGAUUCCAAUAUUUAACUUCAUAAAAUAAAUAUUGACGACUGCACCUGCAUCCCAAUGACAGCGUAGAUGAAGAAGAGCAUCACAAUGAGCAGAGCUACGUGAGGGAGGGCCUGUGGACAGAAGACAUUCACGUCAUGGACAUGACAACUAGGACGCACAGUGGAGAACAGAAAUUGAAUAAAUAAUGACCUGGAAAGACUUGAUGAAGGUCCACAGCAGAUUACGGAUUCCCUCUGAGCGGUUCAGCAGUUUGACCAGACGCAUAACACGGAAGAGUCGGAAGAACGUGAUGGAAACUGAGGCAUUUUCAGAGGCCUGAGGACAAAAAGACAGAGUAGAAUGAGAAUAAAGCAUUAAGUAAAACACACAAACAUCAGGUUGAAAUGUUAGGAGAGUUUAGAGGCUUACCGCAAUGGCUUGCAUAGGAUUCGUCUCCUGCACAAAAUGAAGAGAUUACAGAUGGUGGUUGCAUGAGUUGUACUUAACAGAAUAAUAUCAUGAAUAGUAGGGACAUAAACAUAGAAUGCUAAGUUAUGAUCAGCUGUUAGACAGGAUUUAAGGGUUAAUAUUAGAGUCAUUUUUCUACUUUGGAUGAGUUGUACAGUUUUCUGGUCUGAGCAGCUAAAUGGUUGCAACUUGUAUCUCAUGCGAAAUAGACAAAAUACACACGCUUCACUGUCAAAAUAUUAACUGUUUUCAGUCAGUCAAGCCGUCACUAACACUUGCUGUGAAUUUCUACAUAGAGCUGCCAUGUAGGCCUGUUUAUAUCAACAGUAUGAACCAUACUGUAGCACAAUAUAGCAAAACCCUUGAGGUCUUAUCUUACAUUUGCACUGUAAGAUGAGACUGACAGUCGAAACGCUGAUGUUUCACCAGCAGGUUGGGCAACACGCGAUCCAUUAGAGUAGCGCUACGGUUUAGUAGAGAACAUAGUGGAGUGCUCACACAGCAAGGCUCAUGCAGCAGUGCAGUGCAGAUCAGAUAUUUACAGCACAGCCAUGGAGACAGUACAGUCCUCCACUGGAGGCCAGGGCAGUCUGUGGAGGAUAGACAGAUGAGGAGUGAGGUGCAUGGAGGACAGAAGGAUUGAUGGGGAUGAGAAAAAGAGGAGAAGUGGAACAGGAAAAAGAUGUGACAAAGGAUGUGGAUGGACAAAAGUGAAACUGUGACAAGCUUGUGCGUGAAAAUAUGAUGACAACGCAGUGCAACGGUGACAGAAAAGAUUGGCAUUAUGACAAAAAAAAAACAAAAAAAUCCCUAAUAUGCUCUUUCUGAAUGUUCACACAACACAUAUAAGACAUUAAAUCGCUUGAAAGAGAGAGUGUAACGUGAAAUUGUGCGAAUAACAUGUAGUUUUGUGAUGGAAAUUUAAAAUUUUUUAAUUUAACCUUUAUUUAACCAGGAGAGAUCCCGUUGAGAUUAAGAACCUCUUUUUCAAGGUAGUCCCGGCCAAGAUAGGCAGCAGCAAGUACAAAGCACAGUUGUAAAAUUACACAGUUAAAACAUAAUUAAAACAUGAACAAAAAAAAAAACCUAAUGAAAAAAAUUACAUUUACAAGCAACUUGCAAAAAACAAGUGCAUGUUGUGAAAACGGCCUCAAGAACUCGUAGUUUAGAUUUAAAGGCACUCAAUGAGAUUAACUCGUGAAUGAAAAUGCAUCUUAGAUUGCACAAGUUGCAGAGGAGGGAGAGAAUGGAGGAGGUGAAGUGGAAAUAAACAACAACAGUACUGACCACGUCCUUUCAGAUAGUUCUCCUGUUGGGCCACAAUUCUAAGCUUCUGGAUCAGAUUACUGAAUAAAUACAUUCCAGCCUGAAUCACUUCAUAGCCUGGGAGUUUGUCAUGAAGACAGCAAAUGAGACUUCCAUACACAGCACCUGCAAUGAGAACCUGAAAUCUGAGGACCUUAUCUUGUCUCAUGUACUCACAUCGACUUCACUCAGGAUGACAUCAACGACGCUACCAAUGACGAUGAUGAAGUCAAACACGUUCCAGGGGUCUCCAAAGUAGCCCUGCAGGAAAAGACAAAGCAUCCCGACAGAUUAGGAGCUGAGACUCGGUGGGUCGCCGUUAGAACAGCAAACAUUAGAGCGUUUACCCUCGCUUUGAAGGCCAUGAGCUUGAGAAUCAUCUCCACAGUGAAGAGCACGGUGAAGAUCAAGUUGAGAGUGUCCGACAGCUUGGUAACAUGGUCCGACUGAUUACAGUGCUGAAAAUAAAUUCGCAUUAAUGUGUUAGAACUACUGAUUUGGCAUAGAAGAAUUACACAAUGAUGAAAAAAGUAUUAAUAUUAGAGCAACAUACUGUAAAGUAUCCAGAAAUAGGAAGAAAACCGACACAAAUAAACUUGGCCUUUAAUGAUAAGUAAAUCGGGCCAAUAUUGUAACUUUCAAGAUAAUCUAAACUGGAGCUAUAGUUACAUGAAAACAGGCACCAAAUUUGUAAAUCAUUGCUUUUCUGAAAAUUAACAAAUACGCAAGAUGUAUGUAGAGAAAUCGACAGGGCAUCUGGCAUUUAUGGUCCCCUAAUUUUGCUCAAAAUUAAUUAUUUUGGGAUUUACAAUAGAACAGAAAUAUUUGAAGUAUAAAUAAAACAAAUAAAUGAGAAAUAAGAGAAAUAUACUAAAGUACAAAAUACACAAAACUAAAAUAUACUAUGAUUAAAAAUGUACUGUAAAGUUGUUAUGUCCCAUUAUUAAAAUACUGUUUCAAAUAUUAAAGUACUUUACUAAAUGCUCUGAAAAGCCUUAAACCCUUGUGAUUCAGGACACAGAAUCAACUCAGCAGCAUCUAAAGAUACUAAACAGACUCUUGAUGUUAUCUGUCAGGACCCUCUGUACAAUCUCAGUGUUUUCAGGUUUUAACAUGACCUUCAUUUCCAUACCUGCAUCCCCAGACACAAGGUGUUGAGCAUAAUUAGGAAGAACAUGAGGUACUCAAAGUAGCAGGAGGUGACAAUGUACCAGACCCUGUACUGGUAGGGAUUUUUGGGGAUGUAGCACCUCAGAGGACGGGCCUUUAGAGCGUACUGCACACACUGACGCUGAGGGGACCCAGAACAGACAGGAGAGAAUUAGUUCAUUUAUCCGACAGCAACAAUCUGAUUUGUACCAAGACUGACUGCACUUUCAGUUUUGUAUGUGUACCUGGUUCUUGUCCAGCUCACAGUUCUUAUACUCCUGCUCGCCCUGCUCCUGGAAGGUAACAAUGACAAAGCCCACAAAGAUGUUCAUCAUGAAGAAGGCUAUGAGGAUGAUGUAGAUGAUGAAGAAUAUCGACACGUCGACACGGUUGUUGAACACCGGACCCAUAUCUUCUUCGUCUGAAUCUAUGGCCCUGUACAGGAGCCUGGAAACAAAUGAGAAGAGAGAGAAAAUUGGCAGAGCAAAGAUUAGAGCUCAGAGAUACAAUAAAGCUAAUUUGGACAGACUCCAGGGGAUGGAAUUACUUCCAAUGCAAUAACCACCUAACCUGAUAUCCUGACGUCUAACUCAAUCAAACAGAUAAAAUCCUAUUAGAAGACGCAAUUUCUCAAAUCCAGAUUUAUUCCAUGCUUACUUUGGCCAGCCCUCAAACGUGGAAACAGUGAAUAGAGCCAACAUCCCAUAGAGCACGUUGUCAAAGUUGAAGUCGCUGUUGAGCCAUUCUCUUUUCGCCAGCACUGUGUCUUGUAGGGAAUUUUCCAUGUGCUUCCAGAAGAAUCCCCUGAGAGCAGACACAGUGAAUAGUUGCUCUAAAAUAGCAAUAUGGUUUUACUAAAUGAAAUCUAGGAUGUGCAAAUGUUCUUUGGCUUACUGGCAUUCCUCCUCAGUCACUUUGGACGGGUCUGUGCAGCUGUAGAAUUUACCCUGGGAGGGAAAGGAUCAGUGACGCAUCUAGUACACCAGCAGCAAGGCUUCUAUCCUCACUUAAGCUUAGUCUGGAAAUACGACCUUCACAGUAUCGCACCGCAUAUGGCCAUGAAGCAACAUGUUCACAAACUUACCUUAAAGAGUUGGACUCCGAUGCAGGCGAACAUGAAAUUCAGCAGCAUGGUGACCAGGACGAUGUUGCCGAUUGUUUUGAUGGCCACAAACACGCACUGAACUACAUGCUGUCAACAUAAAUAAUGAUUCAUUAACACUGAGCAAAAGUGUAGAUUUGUGGAGUCAAACAAGUUCUGUAUUUAAAACAGAUUUGCAGUACUUAAGCCACUGUCUGCUACUUUAUGCAGUUUUGUUCAAAAGCUUACAUACCCUGGCAGAAAAAAUUAUGUUUCAUUCUUUAAUGAAAACAUGAAUGAUCAGAGCAAAUACAAUUGUGUGACUAUAAAUAACUUUGUCUGACCACUAACUAAACUAGAAAAGCACUCAGAGAGCGCAGUUAUUGAUUAGUUAUUGAUGAUCAAAAAUCACGGCAAGCUAGAAUGUGGCCAUUUAAUAUAGAUGUAUCCACAAACAAAAUGAUCUUGCACUAUGACGGUUUUUCAACAUUUUGAGUGACAUACUAAACUAUGACGUUUUUUGACAUUUUGGACCACAUACUAAACUAUGACAUUUUAGUGAUAUUUUGGACGACAUACUAAACUAUGACAUUUUGGUGAUAUUUUGGACGACAUACUCAACUAUGACAUUUGUUUCAUAUUUUGCACGACAUACUAAACUAUGACAUUUUUGGCCAUAUUUUGGACAACAUAUUAAACUAUGACAUUUUUGUGAUAUUUUGGACCACAUACUAAACUAUGACGUUUUUUACACAUUUUGGACGACAUACUGAACAAUGACGUUUUUUUGUCACAUUUUAGAUGACAUACUAAACUAUGACGUUUUAGUGACAUUUUGGACCACAUACUGAACAAUGACGUUUUUUGGUCACAUUUUAGAUGACAUACUAAACUAUGACGUUUUAGUGACAUUUUGGACCACAUACUGAACAAUGACGUUUUUGGUCAUAUUUUGGACGACAUACUAAACUAUGAUGUUUUUGUGAUAUUUUGGACGACAUUGCAAACUAUGACAUUUUUUACACAUUUUGGACAAAUUUGUGACAUUUUUGAGGACAUACUAAACUAUGAUGUUUUAGUGACAUUUUGGACGACAUACUGAACUAUGAUGUUUUUUACACAUAUUGUACGACAUACUAAACUAUGACGUAUUAGUCACGUUUUGGACGACAUACUAAACUAUGACAUAUUUGUGACAUUUUGGACGACAUACUGAACAAUGAAGUUGUUGGUCAUAUUUUGUACGACAUAUUAAACUAUGACGUAUUUGUCACGUUUUGGACAACAUACUAAACUAUGAUGUUUUCUUGAACAUUUUGGACAACAAACUAAACUGUGACAUUUUGAGGACAUUUUGGACAACAUACUAAACUAUGAUGUUUUUUCCGGUCUUUUUUUUCCCCCAAUAGGUAAGUACAGAGGAAGACCUGCAGUAAAGGGCCAUGAGCUGGAAUCGAGCCACUGCCUCUGACACAGUCCUGUUUAGGAGUCGCCCUCUUAACCAGUAGAGCUGCCUUGGGCACCACUUAUUUGAUGACAUACUGAACUAUGACGUUUUCUUUCCACAUUUUGGACGACAUACUAAACUAUGACGUUUUAGUGACAUUUUGGACCACAUACUGAACAAUGACGUUUUUUUGUCACAUUUUAGAUGACAUACUAAACUAUGACGUUUUAGUGACAUUUUGGACCACAUACUGAACAAUGACGUUUUUGGUCAUAUUUUGGACGACAUUGCAAACUAUGACAUUUUUUACACAUUUUGGACAAAUUUGUGACAUUUUUGAGGACAUACUAAACUAUGAUGUUUUAGUGACAUUUUGGACGACAUACUGAACUAUGAUGUUUUUUACACAUAUUGUACGACAUACUAAACUAUGACGUAUUAGUCACGUUUUGGACGACAUACUAAACUAUGACAUAUUUGUGACAUUUUGGACGACAUACUGAACAAUGAAGUUGUUGGUCAUAUUUUGUAUGACAUAUUAAACUAUGACGUAUUUGUCACGUUUUGGACAACAUACUAAACUAUGAUGUUUUCUUGAACAUUUUGGACAACAAACUAAACUGUGACAUUUUGAGGACAUUUUGGACAACAUACUAAACUAUGAUGUUUUUUCCGGUCUUUUUUUUCCCCCAAUAGGUAAGUACAGAGGAAGACCUGCAGUAAAGGGCCAUGAGCUGGAAUCGAGCCACUGCCUCUGACACAGUCCUGUUUAGGAGUCGCCCUCUUAACCAGUAGAGCUGCCUUGGGCACCACUUAUUUGAUGACAUACUGAACUAUGACGUUUUCUUUCCACAUUUUGGACGACAUACUAAACUAUGACGUUUUAGUGAUAUUUUGGACCACAGACUAAACUGUGAUGUUCUAAUGAAUUUUGGAUGACAUACUAAACUAUGAUGAUUUUUUUCUAAGUUGUUUCCGGGUCGUUUUGUUGUUGUUCUAUUUUCAAUAGGUAAGUAUAGACAAA